AAUCCUCAAAACCCUUUUUCUUGUUAUCGGAAUCGGGGUUUUGGACUUGGAGGCUCGAUGCUCGCUUUUGCUUUCGAAAGCGAGCUCCUCUUAAAUGAAUUAGUGGGGUCCGCUUUGUCGAUCCUUGACGUGAUAAGAUGUUUCUACGUUUUGGAUUUGGCACCGUUUUCUCCGCUCCUAACCGUCCGUCCCAUGGACAACGAUGGUGCUUCGGUCCCUGCCGUCUACUUUGGCGGGAGGCUGGGCCCACAAAAACGA
Molecule: unclassified non-coding RNA, 258 nt
Filed under: uncultured Russula
Lineage: Eukaryota; Fungi; Basidiomycota; Agaricomycetes; Russulales; Russulaceae
Description: sequence contains ITS2
Source: RNAcentral